UCUGGCGUUUGGCAGCCGAGUCAUGUGGGGGAAAGAACAGGAGGAAGGCCGGAUCCGGAAUCUCAUGCAGCAGAUCGGGGAAGAAAGGAGGAAGCUUUCUUACUUUGAGGGGAAUGUUGUCUGGCUCGAGGUGCAGAAACAUACAGAUCUCAUCGGUCUAGGUUCUUGUCGAUCUCGGACCAGGCUUCAUUCCCCUCAAGUGGAGCUCCCGGGCUGUUCCGCGCUCGUACGUCCGUCGAUUCCCCCUCCUGUUCUUGCCGUGAGUUUCCUUGGGCAUAUCAUCGAGAUGUGUAGCGAUUCUCUCUCUUCGCUCGUUUGACCUUGCUUCUUCGGCCUAGAUUGUGCCUCCGCAGCUAGAAUCAUGCAUGAUUAGGAUAUGAUUAUCUCGGCGAAUGUUUGCUAUGUGUUGGGUUUCGUGCGGUCGGCAUGCAGCAGAUUGGUGCAAUCAUAAGGAUUCUUGACUCAAAAGAACACACAGGCAUGCUUGCUUUUCUUCGUUUAAACUACGGCCGGCUUAAUUGGCAUCUGCAUCUCCCUUGUAGUUGCGGUCUUUUUCUUCUGCCCCCACUUUAUUUCUCACUUUCUCUAAGAGUUUGUGUAUCAUCUCUAGUUCUCUCUACCCCCUUUCAACAUGAAGGAUCUUCGUAUCUUCUCUUGUGAUCCGUACGAUGGCAUCUUUAUCUGCUUUCUCUCUCUUAGACGACAUAGCUGCUUUCUUCUAGUUCAUCUUAAUCUCAUACAAGAGAUUCGUUGGUCAAAUCCACAUCUAGUUAACGUUGGUCAUAUAUACCAUCAUCAGUAUGCGUAGUGUAACAUAUAUACCUCGUAGAUACAUAUCAAAAGUUUUUUUAAUUUUCUCAUAAAUUGAUCAACCAUCACGGUGCCGAACAAGUGUUUUCUAGUCCUCUAGUUAAGUUAAUUUCCAAAGCAAGGACGGCAAAUUAAAGCUUAAAGAUACUACAUAUACAACUAUAUAUAUAUGACAUACUCCCUCCGUUUCUUUUUAGUUGUCGCUGGAUAUAUAGUUCAAUUUUGCACUAUCCAGCGACAAUUAAAACGAAACGGAGGGAGUAUAUACUUGUUUCUUCAGAAUAAUAUAAUCUGCUCACGUACGCCAUUUGGCCUGACAUUUUUAUGUAUGUACUCCCGAUGCAAAUUUAAAUAAACACUGCCAUCUACUAACAACUACGACGACAUAUUUGUUUCUUGGGAAGGCCAGGCCAAAAACUAAGGUUCAUGAGCAGUUGUCUCCUUCCCUUUGUUUCCUCAUACAUCAAAGCAGGACACAUGCUACUGAUCAUCCUGUCGUCCGUCCCAUGCAUAUGGAGCCAGUAGCCACACAAAGCUAGCUGUAACUUUUACAGUUCUACCUCCAUCCAUGUGCUAGCUGCUGCAUAUGCCUGCAUAUGUAUUCCAACUGUGCAAGUUAUUAUGAAACAUUUCCAUGGAUGGAUGUGUAGCAGUUAGAGCCUACAUGUAUCUUAUAGAUGGUAACGCGGUAAUGCUGCUUUAUUUCUUGCACUGCUUGGACAUCGUAUGCAUUUGGAUAAUAUAUAAUGGAAUAGAUAGCGAGAUGGGUACUGAAAUUAUUUUGCUAGAGUGAGCAACUUGCAGAGAAUUGGUACAAGCAGAAGAUAUGCCACUACGUAUAAAACAUGUUCACGUCGAUAAAUUUGUUGCUGACUCACUUAUGAUAGAUGUUACUUUUUUAUUUGUCAUCGUUUAGUUCAAAAAUAAAUUAGCAAUAGACAAACAUUUAAAAACAGAAGUAGUAUAUAGCAGGCUACCAAAACACACAUGCAUGGUGACUGCUUAACUCUUUGUCUUAUUCUAUGUAUAACGUUUGAGCAGUUAAUCUUGGUGGUUUUUACAUUCUUGUGCUCACAAGCGCUGAUAUUUAUACGCACAGCUGACUGAUGCAGGUAAAUGCAACCAAAUAAAGGAGGUAGCAGUAUAUACUUCUAUUUUAAUAUACUUGUUGGCAGGGACAGCCACCAGCUGGUUUCCUACUUUUAAAGGUCAGUAUAGUACUACGUUUGAGUUGAACAAUUUCCUGUGCAACCUAACAUGCAGUGGUGUCCUUUUUUUUAAGAAGGGACAGGUAAUGCGCUGCAGCCCCCCUAUAUGGGUCACUAAUGUCACAAGUUUACUGUUGAAGAUUAUGUCCGUGCAUGCAGUAAGUACAAGCAAGGUCAGCCCAUACAUAUGCAUAGCAGGAUUAAUUUGUAUUGUCAUGGCAGUUUUAGCCGUCACUAACUUCACAAGUAGCGAAGCGCAUGACCUGCCUCAUGCCCGCAGUACUAAUCUAGCUACCAGAGUAUGAUGCUAGCAUCAGUCCAAAGAAACAUGAAAUCAAACAGGGGCCAGGAACCAACUGCAACCGGUGAAGUGAAGCAGUUGAGCAAGACAGUACAGUCGUGUUCAAGCGUGGAAUUAUCCAACGGCAAGUACCAUUAUUAACUUGUGGAAAGAGAUAAUUAGGUGUACCAAAAGCCCUAGAGUGCUAAGCUAGAAUAGCAUGAUGGUUUGGGUUGUCCUUCGUGUGCACUAGUGCUCUCGGUGGAAUGCAAGUUUCAGAUCCCAUUCAAUUGAUUGUUUCCAUUCAUUCCUAUUCAUGGCUACAGCUAUACAGUAUAUAUAUUUCCUUGGAACGUACUCCGAAAAACUCCAGGUAGUUUCAGAAUUAGAUGGGCCGGGAUGAGGAACUAGACUACUAGAGUAUAUCCUUGGGGCCCAAUGCUACUGGUAUUACGUAAUUUCUCAUUCUCACUGUGCCUCGGAGGUUUUAGCUAGUAUUGAUACUUAUUUCAGCUUAUUUGUAAUCCCAAAAUGCUAUUUUAUCCUUCUACCUUUUCUUCAUAAUCCAACUUAUAUACUCUAGCAGAGAAACAACAAGGCCUAAAAUGCCCCCUCUCCACUCUCUCUCUUCGUAGGAUGUGUUGAUAUCCUGAAGGAAAGAAGCCAGAAUAAAAACAUGAUGCGAAGAAACGGCACUACACCAGCAUACCAGCAUUUUACGUUGUGUUCCAUCGUAUCCAAAUAUAUAAAGAACUGGCAUCCUGCGAUUGUGUAUAUACUCCUUCCAAGCAGGAUGAAAACACGACAGAUAAAUUGACAGUAGUAGUGUGCUAUCGGUAAUGCCACUACAUUUGUUUAGCGGCGAUCUGUAUCUCAUGGAUAAAAAUAGUCCAUCUUAUAGAAAUAUGUUAAUAAAGAUUAAACGUGUGUUAAUUA
Zea mays is the source of this 3234-nucleotide RNA transcript. RefSeq lists it as uncharacterized. The transcript is spliced from 2 exons. NCBI's taxonomy places the organism in Eukaryota, Viridiplantae, Streptophyta, Magnoliopsida, Poales, Poaceae. The record is from RefSeq and is a predicted model, not a curated record.